UUGAACAAUUCGAAGUUAAAAGCCAUUCAGGCUUUCGUCAAAGAACAGCAAAGAACCGCCCCGCAACCGGAUGAUGAGGUUCGCUGGAUCAUAUUUGACUUUGUUUCUUUCCCCCAAAAGCACAGACCCAGUACCCAGAGUUCCGUCGUGUCGGGUUUGCCUUUUGCCUGUCAGUGGUGUACUCAUUUUUGG
RNAcentral lists this non-coding RNA (192 nucleotides) under Pteridomonas danica. The record is from RNAcentral. Lineage: Eukaryota; Dictyochophyceae; Pedinellales.